AAAAAAUUAGUUAAUUAAUAAUAACAUUAGUUUGUCAAACUAAAAUAAAUUUUUCUAAAAAUUAUUUUUUA
This is a non-coding RNA of Apis laboriosa (Himalayan honeybee), 71 nucleotides long. NCBI's taxonomy places the organism in Eukaryota, Metazoa, Arthropoda, Insecta, Hymenoptera, Apidae. The record is from the annotation of a RefSeq genome assembly.